GAUGAACGCUGGCGGCGUGCCUAAUACAUGCAAGUCGAGCGAACAGACGAGGAGCUUGCUCCUCUGACGUUAGCGGCGGACGGGUGAGUAACACGUGGAUAACCUACCUUUAAGACUGGGAUAACUUCGGGAAACCGGAGCUAAUACCGGAUAAUAUAUUGAACCGCAUGGUUCAAUAGUGAAAGACGGUUUUGCUGUCACUUAUAGAUGGAUCCGCGCCGCAUUAGCUAGUUGGUAAGGUAACGGCUUACCAAGGCAACGAUGCGUAGCCGACCUGAGAGGGUGAUCGGCCACACUGGAACUGAGACACGGUCCAGACUCCUACGGGAGGCAGCAGUAGGGAAUCUUCCGCAAUGGGCGAAAGCUUGACGGAGCAACGCCGCGUGAGUGAUGAAGGUCUUCGGAUCGUAAAACUCUGUUAUUAGGGAAGAACAAAUGUGUAAGUAACUAUGCACGUCUUGACGGUACCUAAUCAGAAAGCCACGGCUAACUACG
Molecule: ribosomal RNA, 495 nt
Filed under: uncultured bacterium
Lineage: Bacteria
Description: partial 16S ribosomal RNA
Rfam family: Bacterial small subunit ribosomal RNA
Source: RNAcentral